UGAGGCAGGAGAAUUGCUUGAACCCAGGAGGUGGAAGUUGCAGUGAGCUGAGAUCACGCCACUGCACUCCAGCCUGGGUAACACAGCGAGACUCCAUCUCA
Molecule: microRNA precursor, 101 nt
Filed under: Cebus imitator (Panamanian white-faced capuchin)
Lineage: Eukaryota; Metazoa; Chordata; Mammalia; Primates; Cebidae
Description: miRNA (ENSCCAG00000031473.1)
Source: RNAcentral